This is a non-coding RNA of Triticum aestivum (bread wheat), 125 nucleotides long. The record is from Rfam. NCBI's taxonomy places the organism in Eukaryota, Viridiplantae, Streptophyta, Magnoliopsida, Poales, Poaceae.
UUGUUACUCCCUUCGUUUGGAAUUACUUGUCACAAAAAUGGAUAAAAAUGGAUGUAUCUACAACUAAAAUACAUCUAGAUACAUUCAUUUCUUGGACGAGUAAUCCCGAACAGAGGGAGUACAUU